Bombus terrestris (buff-tailed bumblebee) is the source of this 7326-nucleotide RNA transcript. RefSeq lists it as uncharacterized. The transcript has 4 exons. The record is from RefSeq and is a predicted model, not a curated record. NCBI's taxonomy places the organism in Eukaryota, Metazoa, Arthropoda, Insecta, Hymenoptera, Apidae.
GCACAGCGCCUCAUGUGUCAGACAGUCUCUUCGUUCCUUUCGAUAUAUUUGUACAUAUUAUAAUAAAGUCUCCCUUUCUUUUAUAAACUUUGCAAUCCGUUAAUCUCUCAAAAUUAUUCGUUAUAUAAACUAUAAAUAAUUUAACAGGUUAUGGAUCCAACCAUCCUGACAAUGCGCAAAAUAGUCUGGGAAUAAGAAUCGUGAAAUUUCCGAAAGAGGAGAACCUUCGUUAUCCGUGACACACACGUGCUGAAAUCGUCAUAGUUGAUCAGUUCGUCUACGUAAGAUUUCUCAUUUGUUCAGUGAUUCGAUAUUCAGUAUAUUAGUUUCACAGUGAAGCGCAUAUGAAUAAUUCCACGGAACGAAUUUCCGCCUUGGGAAAUUCCAGGUGAAUACCGUCUUCAUAGCGAACGGCGUAAAAGAGAUUGUCGACGGUAUAAAGACUGAGUCCAGUGAAUGAUGUAAAAUGUAGCCAAGAGACGAGCUGCAUAGCCAAUGAAUAAUGCAAAAGUCAUGUGUAUUAUUUGUAUCACGAUUGAAUAUUCUCAACUAAAGCAUUUAGUCAUUUGCAAUACAUUUACAUACUGCUGAAAUACGAAUGAAAUUAAGCAGUAUACACGAGCAGAAACCGCUUCUAAUAGGUUAGUUCUCAUGCAAAAGUUCCAGGAAUAGCGAAUGGAUCAUAACGCAUCAAUUUCCCAACACAUGGCUAGAAUCGAGAACGUGGCUCGUCAGAUGAAUAUUCCUUCUGAGCAACAAACGUGAUUAUCAAAGUUUGUCAAAGUUUUCUCAAGGAAGUGUCGCGCAUGCUCGUUGCCGAUGAUGUCAUAAGACCUCUUGCUGUCAUGAGUGUAAAACACAAACCGUCCAUGAAGAGUAUCGAGAAAUCGAAACGUGACGAAACAAAGAGACAAGAUACGAAGGAAACUAAAUGCUUUUAUUGUUAGAAAAAAGGAUAUUCUAUUAAGGACUCCCGGAAGAAAUUAAACCCGUAUGAAAAUCAAAUGGAUAUAUCCGAAAAUGUGAGUGCGUUUAUUGCCUAUAUAGAAAAGAAAGGAAGAAAUAGAAAACCAGCAUCAGCAUAGUAAUCCCAAAAUGUCCGUUUUCUGUGCGGUUUUAAGUGAAGAAAAAGAGUGCUUGUCAGAGAUACAUAUGCAUGUGUAAGGUUCACGACAGUGGCGCUUCGAGACACGUCACGUUCAGAGGCAUAUAAAAAAAGGCAAAAUGCUUUUUUCAGAAAGCGGGAAUUUACUAUUUAAAACCUUUUCGUCGGUUAUGCGAUAUGAUUCUAUGUGCGUCCUUCUUACAAUAGUUACCAAAAGGUAGCUCAAGAUUCGGUAGUGCAACGCGAAUACAGCUUUUUUGAAAGGACAGCAUACAGAGAACAUUUAUUUGAAAGUGCCUGAAAGAGUGAACUCGAAUAAGAAAAAUGUAGUUCAUGUAGAAAUGUAAUUUAAAUAACACAUAUUUAUUCUGAUAUAAUUACAACUCAUUAUAAAUGAGUCAGAUGAGAUUCGAAAGAAUGAGGUGUUCUUUCUCCUUCGAUUCGUUAUCAGCCAAGAGGACUCGCUUGAAUGUUUAUAUCUUCGACUCUCGGAAAUCGGUCCUGCUCAGCUGCCAUCAUCAUCAGUAAUCCAUUCAGCUCGAUUGAGUAUGGUAAAUGGUCGGGAUGUUGCAACUUUAUGACUUUCCGGUCUACAAAUGGUUUUUUUAAAUCUGUGGCCAUAGGGUGGAUUCAUGACAGCUUCACGACGAAACGUCGGUUUUACAAGCGCUUGACGGACCACGCGAUUUUGUGAGGCGGAUAAUACCAGGGCGGGCUGUUUCGCAGAGCGUGCGACGCUAUUAAGAGAGGUCGUUCGUUUGAUGUCCUCGAAGUGGUGGACUGCGCGCACGAGCAUCCGCGGAUCAGCCGGAACAACGAAAAUUACGAUUGGCCAAGAGAGUCGGUUUAGCAAGUUAAAACAUGACUCGCGGCGCGAGAGAUCGGAAUCGGAGCCAGCCACCCUAUAUAAUCUGCGCUUGGAAAUUACACGAUGAUGUCUUGCCGGAUAAACUCGGCGAAGAUGAUAAUGUUCAACGGCCAUGCAAACGAAUGGAAAUCGAUGUCUUCGAAAAGAUGUAUCGCUCUCUUUCUUUUCUCCGUUCCUCCUUUUUGCUUCUUUCGAGCUUCUUUUGGAGCUUCUUUCGAGCAUCUUUGGCCUCGUCGCCACGCGUUCGCGCUCGUGCUAACGAGUGAUAACAUCGCUAUCGAUUACGAUCCUCGUACGGGGAACGCGUUUAAAAGUAAACGUGGUUGGUUCUGUCUGAUUGCGGGGCCAUACACGGAUUACCAUUUUCCUUCUUAAUGUCUUAACGUAACGGCUUGGAAUUUUGUCGUCGUACGACGACAAAAUUGUCCGCUUGAUCAGCGUCAGACACGCCUGAUCGGCAAUCUCUUAUUCUACUUAGGCGGUACUUGGACAGAUUGGGUCGUUACAUUUUGCUCGGGUAAUUGAGGGUUCGAGAAAGAGGUAGUGGUUGUCGUUUUACUUGUAAAGUGCUAACAUUUUCUGUGAAAUAAUGUAUGCUCUUGUAUGUACGUCUUUAUUUAAGUUCGAGAAAUGUCGGUUUUAGAGGAUCUAUAGGGGAAUUUCUAAGAUUUUUAACUUGUUAUUUAGAGAUUCGGUAUGGAUAAAUCUUAACCCCGCUACCGUUCUUAAAUUUCUAUAUUUCAAUCUUGCCGUUACUUUAACGAAUGAAAGGAGUUUAUAACGUCUUGAAAAGUUAUUUGAUAUAAAAUUAAAGCAAACAGGAACCAUGCGAUAAAACUGUUUUUGUAUUUUGUUCGAACUGCGAAGAUAUUUAUUGACGUUAGAAAAUUAUAAUUGGAUCGAGAGGUGACAGAAGAAACGUAGCAGGGCUAGUGAUAAUAAACGUUGCACUAUUUCAUCUCUACUCUCUUCUAUAAAAGUCUGCGCUAUCACCGCUUUAUUUAAAUGAAAAUAUCAAACACCUAACAUCUAAUCCAUUAAAAAUUCUUUCAGCAUUCAUCCCGAAUUUGCAAACUCAGAAACAAUUAACGAGAACUAAACUUCGUUAUAGCACGUUUUCGCCACGCGACUUUUCUACGAUCAUCCACGAAACAAACACGUCGUGCUCGUCUUGGUAGAUCUGCUUGCGUAAGCCUGACACGAGGAUGCAACCGGUCGAAGAAAACAAACGUGCGUGCACCGAUGCAGCGGAAAAAAGGUUGGCGAUCCCACGGAGCCACGCGAUGCUUCACGCCACGUGCACGUGAUCCCGCGACCUUAAGAGCAAGAGCACUAUUUCCCGCCGCCGGCGCCGCUGCGCCGACAGAUUCUCUUGCUCCUUUCGUGCAUGCCGUUGUGCUACAGGACGUGGCACGACACGAGACCGGAGAUUAAUAUUAUCUCGCGUGAACCGGCGAGAUCGUUUUAGAGUUCCUGCACGUAGAGAGGCUGCCGCUCGACCCUGUCUUGCUUCUUCCAUGCUUUGCCCGCUUCCGUUGCGCUCCGCCAAGUUGGAAGCUGUUCAGAUCGUUAAGUAUCAUCACAGAAUGGAGGGUGGUUUUUCGAGGGAUUCCUUUAAUUUCUCGUUUUGUAGGAUUUUGGUGGUUUGUUUUUACAGGAUGUUAGUGGCUUUAAUAUUAGCUCCCUUUUAUACGAAGGAUAAAGCAGAAAUGAAAUCCUAUGCAAAUUUUUUGUUAUUAUUUUACUACGUGAAAUUUAUGUCAAAUUAUUUUAUUCGAAAGUAUCGCAGAUUUUUUAGAAUGUUAUGGAUAUUGAAAUGUUGCAGCUUAAUGUUAUAUAUACCUAUUGUUCCGAGUAUAAGAAUAACACAAAUUAUAGUCUGCAUUAAUGGUAACAGCGACCACUCAUGAAUCAUAUUUUGUGCCCGUUUAAAGUUUACUCUUUCUUUUCUGUAUUUUAUUGAAACGCCUUAAAUUCCUAUGAAGAAAUAAUUUACAAUAUUUUGUACAUUAUACGUUACAGAAUAAAUUACAAUUAUACAUUAUCAUACAUUAUGCACUUAUAAAAUUUUAAAUCCGGUUGCAAUCUUAAAGAUGGAUGCUUACAUCGAUCUUAUCUUUUCAAUUUACCAGCAAAAUACAAAUUUUUUAAUUCUAAAUUUCUUCAAAUCUAUCACAUCAACCUUGAAAUUUCCAUGAAAGUUACACCACAGAAACAUCUCGUUGGUAUUGCUACAAGGCUCCACAGCGCUCCUAUCAGGCAAACACGAUAUACUCCCGGUAUUAUUCAAAACGGUGCUGUAGCGAGCAGCGUGGCUCUUCGAACGUCAUUAACAUACACCGUUCGCAUAUGCAUAUCGCUACCGUGCUUUGUACACGAGAACACUGUACACGCGUGUCGUAUGAAAGCACAGCGAGUUCGUACGUGGAACAAUAAUGUGUACAAAGAGCGAUACGACUACAGAGUCGACAAAAAGUGCCGCUAAUAUUUCCCGUGUUCGCCUUUGGUGCGUGACGUGCACCCGGCACGGUUUCAGCACGAUUUUCUCGGAACGUUUUCUUCCAGCCACUAUGAAACAAUUUUCGGAUCUUCCUCUCAGCCGUAUAUUGUUCCUUGACAUGGAAAUUUCUUCCCGGAAUUUAGAUGAUGAGACUUGGUUGUUUUAAUGAAUCGAAAGAGGGUGGCUUUGCUGAUCCUUCGUUUUAAUACAAUUUUAGAGGGGACUAGGAUUUGGUACUGACAAGUAUUAAACAAUUUUAGUAAAGUCGUUGGAGCAAGUUUUGCAUGCUGUAUGUUAGAUAUUCGUUCAAACUUUAUAAGCUUUAUAGCUUUAUUCAAAAUAGUGUAUUUAAUAUUAUAUGUUGUACUGCAUGAAAUGCUAUUUAUCAGUGAUAAAAUAAAUACAGAAAUACAGAAAAAAAUACAAAUAUUUUCAUUCAAAAGCAUAGUUUCAGGAGAACUUCGAGUGAAAUCAGAAACCGAUACGUAUCGAAAAUAAUCACCAUGCAAGAUGCGUUGAUCGGUACGAUGCAAAUGCCAGGAUGCAAAAGCAGAGUCUCUUCCUUGACCAGUUCUGAACGAUUCAAAAAUUCGCCACGGGCGAUCGACCAAAAACGUGUGGCCCCCGUUCGAGGAGGAGACUCGAAUCGAGAGGAACAAUGACGAGAGAAUGAAAGAGGAAGAGGAAGAAUAAAAGUAAGAAGCUGGCUAUACGAGCGAUGCACCAGCAUCUGGCGCGUUUAAUGUCUUCGCUGAUGCGCGAAACGCGUUUGGUCGUAUUCUCUAAAGUACCUACAGGGCUCGAUCGCGAGCCCAGAAAGUCGAUAGUGUUCUCCUGUCGCGGACACCGUGUCGUAUCAUCGAUUUCUUUGUCUCCUCCGCAUCUUUCUUUAGCUACUUCUUCCUUUGUUCUUUCCUUUUGCUCGUGAAACGUUUAUAAGCUAAACUGAAUGCUAAAGCGUUAACUCUGAACGCUGUUGUACCUACAAGCUGCAACCAAGAGUCUGGAAAAUGGUUAAAUUAUUAAUAAUUAUUCAGAAUCUAAAUUGCUAAAUCUAAAUUGCAAUAUUUACUCCUGUAAUAGGAAGAAGAGCAGCUUACUCUGUGCUGAAUAAAAUUUGCAAUUAUCAAUUGAAUUUAAUUUAAUAUAAUUCUUAUUUUAGAUGUGUGAAGAUCAAACGAUACUCGGAUGUCUUGGAAGUCACCUUCCCUCACACGAAAUUGUUGAAAACUUUAAACUGACAUUAAAUGAGUUUUAUGCUUCUAGCUUAAUAUUUCCGAUAAUGGAAAAUCGAUUGAUUAUACCUUAUGCGGGAUUCGUAAAUUUACGGAUUCACGGUGGCGAAUUUCAUGACUUCAUGAUCAAUUCAUGACGCAAUUCACUUAGAAUUACUUAGUACGGUUUCUGUAAUGAAAGAGUUAAUAGACUGCGGAUUUUUAUGUAUUCUUAUAUUUUUAUGAACAUAAUUAGGGAAAUGGAACCUACAUAGAAAUUUGUUUUAUCUACUAGAUAUUAUGUUAUAAUAAAUAUUUUUAUAUACAUUAUUCUAUUAUUAUAUUAUAUGCUGUUUCGAAUUUAACUAUGGUGAGUAAAACCCAGCGUUAGGCAAUGCGUUCCGAUCAUUGUCACAAAAAGAAUCACUAUUUCGAAUUUAUCCGUUGAGGGUGAUGAGUUUUAAAUAUAUGGAUUGUGUGCAUUUUUGUAUCUUAAAAUUUCCAAUAAAUGCAUAAAAGUCUGUCUCUUAAUUAUAUAAUUAAAAAGAAUUUUUGAUUUUGAAAAUAUCGUAAGCACAAGGUAAAACACAAUUAAUUUAUUCAGAACUAAGCAGCGAUAUAAGUCGUGAAAAUUGCAUGAAUGCAAAGUUACUGAAAAGUAUGAGAAUGUGUUACUAAAACAAUUAAUCUUUAAAUUUGCCUCAUAAAUAUGACGCCCGGAAUUAAAACAGGAGAACGUUAUUUUUCUAAAGUGUAUCGCUUACUAAGCUACCUUCUUUAACUAUAGAAGCCUCUUAUUUUACUCAGGUCAGGGUUUCACAUAAAUUGAUUCCAUGAUUGUUGUGCAGUCAGCAAAUGUUUUGCUAAGCAUUGGAAAAGGAAAUCUUACGCAUACGUAGAUUUUGCGUAUACCAUUUAAAAAAUCCGAGGGUCGACAUUCAUGAUCAAACACGUGAAUCUACUACGAUGCUUAAGGUGUAUAUGAGAGAUUUCAAGAAAAAAAAAUAGGUGACUGUCACGUCCCGCGCCACGCGCGAUCCGUAGCGCGAAAGUAAAAUUGGUAAUUUCUUUCAAAUCAAGGUAAUUUAAAACGUUUAUUUGAAACCGUGUUUACAGUAUUUGAAGUGAAAGACCAGUUAAAGCCGCUAAAAGCUAUAUCUUGCGAAAACUUAUCUAACUAUGUUUUUAUAUUUACUUAAUUAUGUUUUUAUAACGAUAUUAAGACAAUUUAAAUUGUAAACAAAUUCGGCAGUCGAACAAACGUUGGGGAUCUUCCCAAACAUUUUCAAAAGAAAGACCCCGACGUUUUUUCACCUCCGACAGAUAUAAAUAAAUGUAGCGACUCAGAGAAGUCAGAAUACAAUAAUUACCGUUCGUCUAUCGAAUAUUAGUUAAUUAAUUAACAUUCGUCAACCGAAUAAUUACCAUUGUCUAUCGAAGAAUUUUAUAUCCGUCAGUCUGUCUGUCAAUUGUCAAUAUCGAAAUCGAGUAAAAUUUGAAUAAAUCAUUACAUAUUGUAAAUUUACUGUCGAACAACUUUGAUCCUCUCUCGUGCCAGUAUUCCUACACAUAGCAGGUUAGCCGAAAGUGGAACUUAUUGCCAGUUGCAAUAAACGUCAGUUAACGUUACCUUCUCGUC